This 468-nucleotide ribosomal RNA is filed under the name uncultured bacterium. Its description in RNAcentral is "partial 16S ribosomal RNA". It matches the Rfam family "Bacterial small subunit ribosomal RNA", at positions 28 to 507 of the family's 1533-position model. The record is from RNAcentral.
GAUGAACGCUGGCGGCGUGCCUAAUACAUGCAAGUCGAACGGAAAGGCGAUGAGCUUGCGGGGUGCACGAGAGGGGAAGACGGGUGAAUAACGCGAGGGAAACCUCCCUGUAAGUGGGGUAAAACUAGGGGAAAGGGGCGAUAAUCCCAGAGAAGAUCUCGCACCGCGGGGGUGGAUGGAGAAAGUCGGCGGUGGGGGCUGGUAUAGCGGGUCAUGCGCUGGUUGGGGGGGUAGUGGAGUACCAAGGUUUUGACGGGUAGCCGGCAUGAGAGGGUGGCCGGCGUCCAUGGUACUGAGGGACGGACCAGACUCCAACGGGAGGCAGCGGUGGGGAACCUUGCGCAAUGGGCGGAAGCCUGAGGCGGCAGCCCCGCGUGCGUGAUGACGGCCUUCGGGUUGUAAACCGCUUUCGCCUGUGACGAAGCGUGAGUGACGGUAAUGGGUAAAGAAGCACCGGCUAACUACGUG